RNAcentral lists this long non-coding RNA (2042 nucleotides) under Triticum aestivum (bread wheat). RNAcentral's name for it is "long non-coding RNA (TAES_LNC020536)". Lineage: Eukaryota; Viridiplantae; Streptophyta; Magnoliopsida; Poales; Poaceae. The record is from RNAcentral.
UAUAAUUUUCUCUUUAAUCUGUGCAUUAUUUUAGCUUCCUUAUCAGCCAACAUAUUCUCACAAAAACUUUCUCCUCAGGUGAUCUACAUUAGUCAAAUUGCUAGAUCAUAGUCUUAGAAAACAAACAAGAGGUAUGGUCACAUACACUCAUCCCUCUGCUUAUAUCACAUAAACAUCAUUUAACCAUAAUUUUACAAGACAUACAUUCAUAAAUGACCCAUGAUGCACUUUCUCAAUAGCUACUUUUUCAUAAUGUCGGGAAGAUCAAACACACGAGACGGCCGACAAAUUGAAGGUAUGGCAACAACUCCAGCAACUUGCAUCCAAUAUACGCCGGCGACACCCAAACGAUCACAGGCACAAAGAAACGUCCAACGAACUGAAGACACAACAUCAGCACCAUCAGCCUCAGGUAAUAUCCCGAUGCAAUUCUUCAUGUGUGUGCCUGCAUUUUGAUCUCAGCUCAACAUUGCGUCAAAACUCCUCUCAUACUGAACUAUAAAGCUCUUUUUUUUCAUGCAUCCUAACACUACCAUGAUAAUAAUGUGAAAGCUACAAAAAGAGCAACAUGGUUGAACAAUUAUUGAUUUUUAGUUCCCUACCAGGUAAACAACAUUAAUCUCCAGAUGUACUGUAUGUGACAACGUCCAUUAGUAGUCAUCACCAAAUGCACUUGCAUGCCUGCAAAAGCAAAACACUAUUAAGUACUCUCUCUGUAGAGAUAUAAGAGUGUUUAGAUCACUACUUUAGUAAUCAAAACAUUCUUAUAUUUCUUUAUGGAGGGAUUACAAAAUAAAUCAUAUUACAUGAUACUAUGUUAAGGAAACUAUACGCACUGACGAAAUCACAUUUGCAGAUAUGAGAGUCCAACAUACGUUAGACCCAGCAGCUCACCAGACAAAAAGAAAGAAAGAACAACCUCUAAACUCAAGGAGUACAAAGCGGACAAGGACUGCAGAGGGAAGAAGAAAUGCGAACACAGAGGCUCCUAAACGAUUGAGAAAGGCUAAUGCUGAAGAAGAUAGGGAAUUGAAGCGCGCCAGAAGCGAAACCAACAGAAACAACACUAGAGUCAAUGUUGGAGACAACAACAGAACCAGAACCUCGACAAGUGCUAAUAGCAAGCCAUGGAACUUCGGAAGGCCAACAUACAAAUGCCAAUAUUGCAAAGCAUUGCUAUGGUGUGAAGAAAGAUUAAAUUCAAACAAAGGAACUACGGCACCCUCUUUUGGAAUAUGCUGCAAACAAGGGAAAAUCGAUCUGCCGCCACUAAGAGAACCUCCACCAUACCUUAGAAACCUCUUAAGAAGUGAAGGGCAGGAUUCGGUAAACUUCAAAGAAAAUAUAAGGUCAUACAACUCAAUGUUUUCAUUCACAUCGAUGGGAGGAACUGUGCACAAGGAAAUAAACACUCGCAAAGGACCUUAUGUUUUUCGUUUGCAUGGACAAAACUACCACCAUAUCGGAACUCUUUUGCCUCAAGGUACAGACAAACCUCGGUUUGCACAUCUAUACAUCUAUAAUACCGAAAAUGAGGUGGAAAACAGGAUAAGUGCGUCAAGAUGCAAUGAUAAAAAAUCAACAGUGGACCCCAACAUCGUCAAAGAACUGAAAAUAAUGCUCGACGACAACAACAUCCUCGCAAAAACAUUCAGAAUGGCAAGAGAUAGAUUCCAAGAAGGAGACUACCAUGAUUACACACUUCGGAUACUAGGCAAAAGGAACGGAACACACAACCUUCCACCCACAUCUGAAGUUGCAGCAUUGGUAGUAAGAGAUCCAACCGGAGAGAGUGAAGGACGUGACAUUGUUGUUGAGUACAAAAAUAUGGAGCCGCAAAGGAUAUCAGAGAUCCACCCGAAAUUCAUGUCCAUGCAAUAUCCGUUGUUGUUCCCAUAUGGAGAAGAUGGUUUUAAACUUGAGAUACCCUACAAGAAAACAAAAGGAGGUACAAAUAGCAGGAAAUACGUAACGUUGUUGGACUACUAUGCAUUCUACCUACAGCAACGUCCUGAUCAAGGAAUGUUACUACUCAAGUCUAG